Molecule: non-coding RNA, 75 nt
Submitted as: unclassified sequences
Source: Rfam
GGGGAGAGUCUUAGAAUCCCCGCCGGUCCCGUGUAAAUAGUCGUGCCUUUGGCCGGACAUGACGGUUUGUGAAUC